UUAACCUUCAGUACUCUUUAUAUAGUUAGGUAGGAGUCAGACCAUGUUUCUUUUAGCUGAAAAACAUUACACCAGGUAACUAGAUGUACAUGUGGUUUGGUUGUUUGCCUUUUGUUUGAAAUUACACUGAGAGAGGCAGCAGAGAGCACUCUAGAGGCUAAUAUGCAGUUCCACCAUAGAAACCAAUGCAUUAAAGAGAUAUGUACGUUUUAGUACGUUUUAGUAGCUGUCCACUCCAGUGACCACAAUGCAUCAGAGGGUACUGCUGCAUAGGCUGGGCUUUAGUUAUAUUGGUAGGAUACAAAGCAUUAAAAAAUGUUAAAAACACAAACGGCAUAUUAAACGUAGGAUAGUUUGGGUCUGGAAGCAGAAAUCCUCACAUCAUCACUUCAACCGGAUUACUUAAAUGUCUUAAAGACAUAAACUAUUAGGAGUUGGAGGCAUGCGUGUUGGUGUUUCUGGGGGUUGUUUUCCCCUUUCGGCACAGGUACGCGGGGCGGUGUUUGACGGCAUUCCAGCACACCUGCGGUGCAUCGGAUGUCAUCAGUGGGAGCAUUUAUGGAGCUGAGUGACGGACGUCGGGUGUCGGAUUAUUGUCGUUCCCACAAGUGCCUGUCUCGCCGCCUGCCCGCCUGCCUGUUUCUUUGUGUGCUGGCUCAUCUUUGGAUCUGUGACAGAGACUUACCUGGCGCUGGCCUGCGAUCGCUGUCAUUCCUGUAUUCUGGUGUUUCAAGUAGCUCUGGUUCGCCACCAAUCUUCCUGCAUACCUCGGCUCCGUUUUCAUCCCCUCCGCUCUGUUUAUUCGCACAUUUACCCGGCCAUUGUAUAUAGCCCCGUCCCCCUGUAAAUAUUUCCUGACCUCUGUUAAUAAAUCUGCUUCACCGCUA
Molecule: long non-coding RNA, 887 nt
Organism: Oreochromis niloticus (Nile tilapia)
Lineage: Eukaryota; Metazoa; Chordata; Actinopteri; Cichliformes; Cichlidae
Exons: 3
Source: RefSeq, a predicted model, not a curated record